GUGGGGAAUAUUGGACAAUGGGGGGAACCCUGAUCCAGCCAUGCCGCGUGUGUGAAGAAGGCCUUUUGGUUGUAAAGCACUUUAAGCGAGGAGGAGGCUACCGAGAUUAAUACUCUUGGAUAGUGGACGUUACUCGCAGAAUAAGCACCGGCUAACUCUGUGCCAGCAGCCGCGGUAAUACAGAGGGUGCAAGCGUUAAUCGGAUUUACUGGGCGUAAAGCGCGCGUAGGUGGCCAAUUAAGUCAAAUGUGAAAUCCCCGAGCUUAACUUGGGAAUUGCAUUCGAUACUGGUUGGCUAGAGUAUGGGGGAGGAUGGUAGAAGUCCAGGUGUAGCGGUGAAAUGCGUAGAGAUCUGGAGGAAUACAGAUGGCGAAGGCAGCCAUCUGGCCUAAUACUGACACUGAGGUGCGAAAGCAUGGGGAGCAAACAGGAUUAGAAACCCGGGUAGUCC
Molecule: ribosomal RNA, 451 nt
Filed under: uncultured bacterium
Lineage: Bacteria
Description: partial 16S ribosomal RNA
Rfam family: Bacterial small subunit ribosomal RNA
Source: RNAcentral